CGCUAUCACUCCUACGGGAGGCAGCAGUGGGGAAUAUUGCACAAUGGGGGAAACCCUGAUGCAGCCAUGCCGCGUGUGUGAAGAAGGCCUUCGGGUUGUAAAGCACUUUCAGUAGGGAGGAAGGUAGUGUAGUUAACACCUGCAUUAUUUGACGUUACCUACAGAAGAAGCACCGGCUAACUCCGUGCCAGCUGCCGCGGUAAUACGGAGGGUGCGAGCGUUAAUCGGAAUUACUGGGCGUAAAGCGCAUGCAGGCGGCCUGUUAAGUCAGAUGUGAAAGCCCGGGGCUUAACCUCGGAAUUGCAUUUGAAACUGGCAGGCUAGAGUCUUGUAGAGGGGGUAGAAUUUCAGGUGUAGCGGUGAAAUGCGUAGAGAUCUGAAGGAAUACCAGUGGCGAAGGCGGCCCCCUGGACAAAGACUGACGCUCAGAUGCGAAAGCGUGGGGAGCAAACAGGAUUAGAUACCCUGGUAG
This 472-nucleotide ribosomal RNA is filed under the name uncultured bacterium. RNAcentral's name for it is "bacterial SSU rRNA". It matches the Rfam family "Bacterial small subunit ribosomal RNA", at positions 328 to 793 of the family's 1533-position model. The record is from RNAcentral.